RNAcentral lists this unclassified non-coding RNA (198 nucleotides) under rhizosphere metagenome. Its description in RNAcentral is "partial ribosomal RNA internal transcribed spacer region". The record is from RNAcentral.
GAGACUGGGUGCUUCGGCGCCCGACCUCCAACCCCCUGUCUACCUUACCACUGUUGCCUCGGCAUUUCUGCCCACCCCCCCUUCGCAGGGGGAUGGGCGAUGUGCCGGCGGCCAAAAACAAAAAACCCUUUUCAAACCAAGCAUUCUGAGAAAUUAUUUAAUAACUUCAAAACUUUCAACAACGGAUCUCUUGGUUCU